Long non-coding RNA from Lactuca sativa (garden lettuce), 1637 nucleotides. RefSeq lists it as uncharacterized. Lineage: Eukaryota; Viridiplantae; Streptophyta; Magnoliopsida; Asterales; Asteraceae. The record is from RefSeq and is a predicted model, not a curated record.
UAAGUAAAAGUCAGUCUUACCGUUAGUAGGCCUCAUUCACGAAGCUGGUCUAUAAGGGGUGUUUAAGGAAAUUGCCUAUAAAAUGGCGAUUGAAUGGGUAUCCACUCUUACCCACCGCACUCUUGACUAUUGGAUGGUCGUUAGCCGAACGGGUAGGAUAGGACGAAACCUUCCAUUAUAAGUAUAAUGAAUUACUAAAGUAACUAAAUGUUUUUAAAAUUACACUUUGUGCCCUUGCGAAGACGUUAGUGGAGCGUGUGUGGUUUACCGGCACACUAAAUGGUUCUAAGCAAAGGUAGCAAAGGGUGACUCAAUGUUUGUCAUAGUUCGGUGGAGCGUAUGUGGUUUACCGGCACAUCGAAUAGGUGACUGUAACAUGUGAGGGCACCAUGUAAGUUUGCAUGGUUAUUCACACCCGCUUUGUGAUCCUCGGCAUCCCAGUCACAAACAAGAGGGGCAUAUCUAGAUUUAAACAUGCCAUUGAAAUGUUCAAUGAAUCUCAUAGGAUCUAGGAGUUUUCAUAGAUUUAAAACUUAAAAUUUCUUUUUCGUUUUUCAUGGUGGAAAUUAAUGAAUCGUCAUUCACUUACCUUCAAAUGUUCUGCAAUUUGGGUUACGGCAUCCCUCUCCCGAGUUGUAGAAUAUUGUGUUGGGUCCUAGCCUUAGUAUUUCAUUUGGGUGAUUUACUAAGGACUCAAUCAAUCAACUAACUUGAAUUUGUUUUCUCCCGUUUUGUAGAUGUCAAGGUUCGACAACUAUGGUCUUCCCAAAUCCCGUGGAACAAGCUUUCCACAUGAAGAUGAUAUUCCACGAUUCGAUCGAGGAACAAGAGAUCAUACUUCACUUCCUCCUCCUCCUCCAAUUAUUCUCCCUAACCCACAAGUUCGAAGGCUUGAAAAAUUCAAGCUCACUCAAGCCCUUUUGGCAAGUAAACAUAGAGAAGGAAAGUCGGUGUGUGCACACGUCCUAGGGAUGAAGUCACACAUUGAUAGGUUAAGAAUGUUGGGAUUCGUCGUCUGUGAGGAAAUAACUGUUGAUUGGAUUCUUCAGUCACUUUCUAAUUCAUAUAGUGAGUUCGUAAGAGAGUACUAUAUGAUGAACCGCGACGUGACCCUUAUAGAUCUCACCUAUAUGCUUAUUGUUGCUGAAUCAGCAAUGGUUUGACGCAAUUGAAAAGCAAAGUUGAUUGGUGAAUCUGCCUUCAAGACCUCCAUGGAUAUAGACAAUGGCAACGAAAGACUUGCUAUGAUCAAAAGGUUUGAUCAUAAGAGAAAAGCAAUGUCUGAAGUAGUUCCGUGUCCUGUUUCAAGAGAGUCAAUCUGCUUUUAUUGCAAAGAGAAAGGGUAUUGGAGACGAAGCUGCCCCAUUUACCUAAGAGAUCUAAGAGAUGGGAGAGUCGAACCGUAUGGCUCUAAUAUAGGAUCAAAGAAAAGAAAGGAAGCUUAAGGGAAGAAGUGAGCAGAAUCUAACCAUGGAGGAAUGGAUUUCGAUCGCAUUACUUGAAGAUUAGAUUCUUGAGCUACUACUUAGAGUUAGAAUUAGAUUGCUAAGAAAGAUGUAUUAGCAUAGUUUUUCGAUGAAUUGCAUUGUAAGGACAAAUUUUUCCGCAAUAAAAUAAAUUUUGAUUUUAUUUAAUUA